Molecule: ribosomal RNA, 499 nt
Filed under: uncultured bacterium
Lineage: Bacteria
Description: bacterial SSU rRNA
Rfam family: Bacterial small subunit ribosomal RNA
Source: RNAcentral
UAGUCCACGCUGUAAACGAUGUUCACUAGUUGCUGGGUUCCUUGGUGAAAUCAGUGACGAAGCUAACGCAUUAAGUGAACCGCCUGGGGACUACGGCCGCAAGGUUAAAACUCAAAGGAAUUGACGGGGACCCGCACAAGCGGUGGAGCAUGUGGAUUAAUUCGAGGCAACGCGAAGAACCUUACCUAGCCUUGACAUCCCGGGAAGUGAAACGAAAGUAGAUCGUGCCCUUCGGGGAACCCGGUGACAGGUGCUGCAUGGCUGUCGUCAGCUCGUGUCGUGAGAUGUUCGGUUAAGUCCGGCAACGAGCGCAACCCUUGUCCUUAGUUGCCACCAGUUCGGCUGAGCACUCUAGGGAGACUGCCGGUGUGAAACCGGNGGAAGGUGGGGAUGACGUCAAGUCCUCAUGGCCCUUAUGGGCUAGGGGCUUCACACGUGCUACAAUGGCUGGUACAAAGGGCAGCGAAACCGCGAGGUCGAGCCAAUCCCAAAAAACCAG